GAGAGUCUGACGGAUAAGAGCAAGCUGGAUGUUCAGCCUGAGCUUUUCAUCAGGUUUUCCCGAUAAGACCAACAAUACUCUCCAUUAUUGAUAGCGGAAUCGGAAUGACCAAAGCAGUGUGCCCUAACCAAAUGAUGCCCAUGUGUAAUAAGCAAAGGCAUCUAGACAGGAAUGUGGAAGAAAAUAGAACAUGGCAGCAUUGCAAGAUGCACUACCACAUCCUCCAGGAACCGACGCAUCAUCCUCAAAACCUCUUCACUACCUUGACAAACUGGAGGUAAUCUGAAUCAAAGUGAAUCGGACCCAAUCCUCUAGAUGAAGCAAAAACGUUGUUGCCAGACGUGCAACUAAAACUUGAACCAUCAAUGGAGAGUAGACUCGAGCAGCAACCUGGACACAAAUGCCUCCAACAAUCAAAACCAGCAGUCACGAAAAAGUCCUACUUUCUCUGUACCUUAUUUAGAUCUUCAAAUUUCGUAUCAUACCAUAUAAACUAUAUACGUAAUACGUGUCAUUAGUCAUUAAACCAUAGAAUCAACUAAACUUAUAUAUAUCGACCAACCCACUACGAUGUAAAUCAUCAUGUAUUAAGCAUGCUUAACAUUUCAGUUGUUAACACAAAAAUACGGCUGCUCUCCAGUUACUGAAACUAGGCAUCAGUUAUGAGUUAGAAUAUAUUUCUCAUGCAAAUUAAAUUUG
Molecule: RNA transcript, 699 nt
Organism: Fragaria vesca subsp. vesca
Lineage: Eukaryota; Viridiplantae; Streptophyta; Magnoliopsida; Rosales; Rosaceae
Exons: 2
Source: RefSeq, a predicted model, not a curated record